Non-coding RNA from Heterocephalus glaber (naked mole-rat), 2880 nucleotides. The record is from RefSeq and is a predicted model, not a curated record. NCBI's taxonomy places the organism in Eukaryota, Metazoa, Chordata, Mammalia, Rodentia, Bathyergidae.
CAACUCCAUAGUAAAGUGCUCAAGGGAGCUACUGGGGUGGACAGGGUCUCCCCAAAAUUCAAGUCCACCAAGAACCUCAGACGGAGACUUUAUAUGGAAAUUCACUCUUUGCAGAUGUAAUCAAGUUAGGAUGAAGGCAAUUUAAGAUGCAGGAUGAAGCCCCUAAUCCAAUGACAGGGGUCCUGAUAAGAAGAGAAAACAGACACACAGAGGAAAGGCAAGAGUUGGCGACACACACAGGAAGAAGCCUUGUGACGCUGGAGCAGAGGCUGCAGUGAUGCGGCCACCAGCCCUGGGAUGCCAAGGAUGGCCAGCAGCCAGCAGGAGCCAGGCUGGAAGGGAAGGUUCUCCCCCAGAGCCCUAAGGGAGGGUGGCGCCCGGCCCACACCCUGGGUCUGGGCUUCCGAUCUGCAGAACCGGGAGGGGACAGAUUUCUGCAGCAUGAAAGCUCCAGCCAGGAGAGGAGAGAGUGGGGAAGGGGGUGAGGCUGCACCAGGGAGUUUCUCAGGCAGGGAAGAGGGCCCAGCAGAGAGGCCAGGCCGGCUGGGGGGCACAGGGCGGAGACAGAGAAAGCAUUUGAUAAGGUUGCCAGGAUGCUGUAUUUAUUUGCUUUUUGUUUUGUUUUUGUUCUGGGUUUUUGUUGUUGUUGUUAUUGUUGCUGUUGUUUUUGUACCGGGGAUCAAACUCAGGACCUUGCACUUGCGAGGCAGGCCAUGGCACCCCUGAGCUAAAUCCCUGGCCCUUUUGUUUUGUUUUUUAGGAUUCUACACUGGGACCCUCAUUAAUGAUCUUUUGAAGAGAGCAGAGAAUGUUAGACUUCAGGAACUGGGCCUCCGUUUGUGGCAGAGGGAGGAUGGAGUAGUUACUAUGGGGCAGCAUGGUGGGGCUUUCUGUUCCUGUCCUAGGGAAUUUCAGGAGUGUGUUCUCUUUGUGAUGAUUUCCUGAGCCAGGACAUUCAGAUGUGCACUUUUGUUUUAUCCAAGGGUUUUAUGCACACACACACACACACACACACACACACACACACGUCUAGCGUUUAUUUUUAAAAAUUUUUUUUAAAUUUUUGCAUUUCACAUUUUAUAAAUGACAAAGCAUUGGGGUAAAUUUUGAAAGUUUCCAUAGGACUGUUAAAGCUCUCUUAGUAAGUGGCUGCAGUCGCGUUUGGAACUGAGGUUGGCGUGGGCCUAAAGGCCCGAUUUUGGCCCAUCCUAGAGGGCUGGGAACGAGAACCCAACAUCUGACCGCCCUCUUGGUAGCUUUCAGCUAAGCCGCCCUUCGCCGGAUGGCCUGCAGGGGGCGCAGAGAGCCGAGGCCACGCCGCCGAAGGCGCCAAGAGGCACCCAGCCGGCAGGGGUCGCCGCUGUCGCAGGCGGAGGGCAAGGGGUCGUGACCGGCUGAGCCCCUACCCACCCCCUCCCCGGGAGGCUGGAUGCAGGAUCCUGAGCCUUCUCGGGGAGACAGACCUUACCCCCACUUUACAGAGGAGGACUCCCCAGCCCAGAGCCGGACUAGUCCUCCGGACUGCCAAGGUGACUCGAAACAAGGAAAGGCUGAGGCACUGUCACAGCCUGGCGGAGCCCAGGGAGACGGGACAGCUAACUGGUCUCCUGGAGGGAAUCCUGAAACAGGGUGAUGGACAUUCGGCAGCUACUAAGGAGAUCUGAAUAAGUACAGCACCCACAAUGGACCAAUCCAGCGGAUAAGCAAAGAGCUCGGGUUGGCUGUUGGGAUCUUCUCAAUGCGAUUCUUUGUAUGGUUGCGCUCUUCUUCAGUGUUCACGGUGCCUGUGGCAGCAUUUUCAUCAUCUUCACCACAAUCCGAUGGAACUGGUUUCCUUUUUCGAGAAUUAAGCUGACCAGGACUAUUAGAAGCACCCAGUUGAAGACUGAAUCCCGUUUCUGACCUGUGUCCCUCAGGUUGCCGGUGAUCUGUGUUGGGUAUUUUGCAAGAAAAGCAGCAAGAAAAGCAACUAAGAAAGACAUCAUCUGAGUUUGCAGAUGAAGAAAGGAGGCAUUGAAAAGGUGAACAGUCUGCAUGAGGCUACAGAGCAGGAUCUACACUCACCCUAGGUGUGCUCCAAAGCACCUCUCAGGCUGCAUGGAGUCCCUGCCCAGUUGGCCCUGUGGACAGGUGUGUCUCCACCUGUGCUGCAAGCCCAGGCAUUGUACAGGCAGGGAAGAUGUGUUUCCAUAGCUGUGCUGUGGUCCUGCAUGCAGGGUGUCCAUCUGUGAUUCCUAGGAGUGUGUGUGUGUGUGUGUGUGUGUGUGUGUGUGUGUAGUUGCAAGGGGACCCACAGGGAGGACCCCAGGGCCCCACCAGAGUGCAGAUCAGAGCUGUACCAGCUCAGCCUGGGCCCCAGGUCUCAAAGCCACCGUGGUUUCCAUCUCUGGGGCCCCAGUGGAAUUUGCCUGUCCGGACAGAGGAGGUUUUGAGGAAGGCAGUGUCCUGAGGGCCCUUCUGGUCCUGGAUAGGCCUGGACUCUUCAUUCAGGACCGGCGUUAGUGGCGGGUACGAGCCAAACAGCCCUCACUGAUCAGGUCAGGGAACCCAUGUGCCAGGGCACCCAGGCGCAGCAGCCACGGGGCGGAAGCAGUGAGCAGCCCUGGGGACCACGAAAUCUGAUGCAGCUGUUUGUCCUGAGCUGGGAGCCCUGGGAGCCCCUGCUGCUGCUCCCCUGCUUCCCCAGCUGUUGGGCGGGGUGGUCUCCUGAGCCCUCCUGCCCCCUUGGAGAGGGGCCAGCUGACUAGAAAGCCUCUGGUCCCUGCACCUGUGGCAUGCUGACCUUGACCUUCAAACACGUGAACCUGUGAAUGUGAAUGUGACUUUGUUUGAAAAUAGGGUUUUGAAAAAAAUAAAAAUUAAAAAAUAAUACAUAAUAAA